UUGAAAGGGAAACGAUUGAAGUCAGUCGUACCUACGAGUAAUCAACCUACUCGAGUGCGAUUUUGUGGGUAUGUUAGAGUUUAAACCUUCAUGCUUACAAAUUGGUGCUCUUUGGGCGUACUUUCUCGUAUGGUAGGUUAACAUCAAUUUCGAUCGUUAUAAUUGACUGGAGGAAUGUAGCUUCGACCUCGGUUGAAGUGUUAUAGCCUUUGGUAGAUGUAAUGAUUGGGAUUGAGGAUUGCAACGGAUACCCUCUGGGCUAUUCGUCUGAUGUCUGGAAGUUACCUUGGUGUCGAAAGCGUGCUUACGAUAUUAAGGUUGACGGCCAAUAGGUUAGAACGUGAUUAAAUUCGUUAAGGAUGUUGACGUA
This 370-nucleotide ribosomal RNA is filed under the name uncultured Glomeromycotina. RNAcentral's name for it is "partial large subunit ribosomal RNA". The record is from RNAcentral. Lineage: Eukaryota; Fungi; Glomeromycota.